This 253-nucleotide ribosomal RNA is filed under the name uncultured bacterium. Its description in RNAcentral is "partial 16S ribosomal RNA". It matches the Rfam family "Bacterial small subunit ribosomal RNA", at positions 524 to 776 of the family's 1533-position model. The record is from RNAcentral.
GACGGAGGAUGCAAGUGUUAUCCGGAAUCACUGGGCGUAAAGCGUCUGUAGGUGGUUUAAUAAGUCAACUGUUAAAUCUUGAGGCUCAACCUCAAAAUCGCAGUCGAAACUAUUAGGCUAGAGUAUAGUAGGGGUAAAGGGAAUUUCCAGUGGAGCGGUGAAAUGCGUAGAUAUUGGAAAGACCACCGAUGGCGAAGGCACUCUACUGGGCCACUACUGACACUGAGAGACGAAAGCUAGGGGAGCAAAUGGG